RNAcentral lists this ribosomal RNA (318 nucleotides) under uncultured Cercomonas. Its description in RNAcentral is "SSU rRNA". The stretch from base 96 to 318 matches the Rfam family "Eukaryotic small subunit ribosomal RNA", at positions 731 to 955 of the family's 1831-position model. Lineage: Eukaryota; Cercozoa; Cercomonadida; Cercomonadidae. The record is from RNAcentral.
GAUUUCUGGUUUGGUGCGCGCGGUCCGCUGCGGUUUCGUAGCGUGUGCUGUUGUGCGCCUGCCAUCGUUUGAGGCAGGGGCGUGCUCUUCACUGGGUGCGUCUUUAUCUCAAUCUUUUACUUUGAAAAAAUUAGAGUGUUCAAAGCAGGCUUGCGCUAUGAAUACAUUAGCAUGGAAUAAUAAUUUAGGACUUUGGUCUUAUUUUGUUGGUUUCUAGGACUAAAGUAAUGAUUGAUAGGGACAGUUGGGGGUGCUAGUAUUCAGCGGCCAGAGGUGAAAUUCUUGGAUUCGCUGAAGACUAACUUAUGCGAAAGCAUU